Molecule: long non-coding RNA, 412 nt
Organism: Rhodamnia argentea
Lineage: Eukaryota; Viridiplantae; Streptophyta; Magnoliopsida; Myrtales; Myrtaceae
Exons: 2
Source: RefSeq, a predicted model, not a curated record
GAAAGCAUCCCCAGCCAUCAGUAGAACCUCAAAAAUCAAAGAAGGAUUGAGAAUCCACCAAAUAACACUAACCUUGCUCUAUUAAGAUCUCUCAAAGUUUACAAAAUGAAAGGGGGAAGCAGCAUGAUUUGUCAAAUUCACGUCACUAUUUCCUUAUUAAAAAGGGUUGCCUGACACCAACCAAAGCUGAUUUGGUGACUGCUAAGUGAUAAAUCACAUGAUGAUAAUUUGCAGCAACAGUUCCAUAUGCAAGAAUACAGUACUUUGCUACCUUCAAAAAGCACUUACUAAACAAUGGAAAAGAACUGGGAAGCAUAGAAUUUGAAGCCAAAACUAAAAAGCUCAGGGCCUUAGGCCUUCAAUAAUACCGAUGCCGCAUCCCCAAAUGGCAAACACUAAUAAUAAAUAGAAG